AGGUGGAAGAAGAGAGGAAGGCUAGCCUGAAACUUCAAACAAUUUAAAUCCAGGCUAGCCUUCCUCUCUUCUUCCACU
Non-coding RNA from Podarcis lilfordi (Lilford's wall lizard), 78 nucleotides. Lineage: Eukaryota; Metazoa; Chordata; Lepidosauria; Squamata; Lacertidae. The record is from the annotation of a GenBank genome assembly.